RNAcentral lists this ribosomal RNA (396 nucleotides) under uncultured bacterium. RNAcentral describes it as "bacterial SSU rRNA". It matches the Rfam family "Bacterial small subunit ribosomal RNA", at positions 28 to 420 of the family's 1533-position model. The record is from RNAcentral.
GAUGAACGCUAGCGGCAGGCCUAACACAUGCAAGUCGAGGGGCAGCACGGAUUGCUUGCAAUCUGGUGGCGACCGGCGCACGGGUGCGGAACGCGUAUGGAACCUGCCCCUGUCAGGGAAUAGCCCAGAGAAAUUUGGAUUAAUGCCCCAUGGCAACAAAGUAUCGCAUGAUAUUUUGUUUAAAGAUUUAUCGGACAGGGAUGGCCAUGCGUACCAUUAGCUUGUUGGUGGGGUAACGGCCCACCAAGGCAACGAUGGUUAGGGGCCCUGAGAGGGGGAUCCCCCACACUGGUACUGAGACACGGACCAGACUCCUACGGGAGGCAGCAGUGAGGAAUAUUGGACAAUGGGCGGGAGCCUGAUCCAGCCAUGCCGCGUGCAGGAUGACCGCCCUAU